RNAcentral lists this long non-coding RNA (296 nucleotides) under Capsella rubella. RNAcentral's name for it is "long non-coding RNA (CRUB_LNC002277)". Lineage: Eukaryota; Viridiplantae; Streptophyta; Magnoliopsida; Brassicales; Brassicaceae. The record is from RNAcentral.
AUUGCUUUGAACCUAAUAAAUUAGAUUAUAUUUUUUAUUUAAUUAUUAAAGAUAUGAUUUUUUUUUUUUUGAAGUAUGAAUGAAUGGUUUCCAUGUUGAUACUAAGGGCGAAUGAAACAAAGAGUUUCUAAUAAUAUUUGAAAAUGCCCAAGGCCAUAAGAAAGUCUUAAAGACUAUACCUGCCAUUAUGAUAGAGGCUAAUGCCACGGUAAACAAAGAGUUUACUGAGAGGUUCACUCUUUGGCACGACCGGCUUGGCCAUCCCGGUUCAAAUAUGAUGCGAAAAUUGAUAUUAA